This is a small nuclear RNA of Lemur catta (Ring-tailed lemur), 103 nucleotides long. The record is from RefSeq and is a predicted model, not a curated record. Lineage: Eukaryota; Metazoa; Chordata; Mammalia; Primates; Lemuridae.
UUGCUCACUUUUGUGGCACAUAUACUAAACUUAGAGCAAUACAGAGAUUAGCAUGGCUCCUUGCAAGGAUGACAUGGAAAUUUGUUAACCAUUCUAUGUUUUU